UCGCCUGUUUAUCAAAAACAUGUCUUCUUGAAUAUAAUUUGAAGUCUGACCUGCCCACUGAAUUAAAUAUUUGAAGGGCCGCGGUAUUUUGACCGUGCAAAGGUAGCAUAAUCAUUAGUCUUUUAAUUGAAGGCUAGAAUGAAUGGUUGGACGAGGUAUUGACUGUCUCAGUGUGAUUGAGAUUAGAAUUUAACUUUUAAGUCAAAAGGCUUAAAUGUUUUUAGAGGACGAGAAGACCCUAUAGAGCUUUAUAUUUUUAGGUAAUUGUUUAUUUAGUUUAUUUUUUACAAGGAUCGAAAAAGUAUUUUGUUGGGGUGACAGGAAGAUAAAUAAAACUCUUUUUAACUUAUUAACACUGAUUUGUGAAUUAUUGAUCCAUCAAUAUUGAUUAUAAGACUAAGUUNCCUUAGGGGAUAACAGCGUAAUCUUUUUCGAGGAGUUCUUAUCGACAAAAAGGGGUUGCGACCCUCCGAUGUUGGAUUAAAGGGUAAUUUUGGGUGUAGAUGUCC
Molecule: ribosomal RNA, 509 nt
Filed under: Amphinemura nigritta
Lineage: Eukaryota; Metazoa; Arthropoda; Insecta; Plecoptera; Nemouridae
Description: partial 16S ribosomal RNA
Rfam family: Archaeal large subunit ribosomal RNA
Source: RNAcentral